This is a non-coding RNA of 126 nucleotides. It matches the Rfam family "azaaromatic riboswitch aptamer (yjdF RNA)", at positions 5 to 92 of the family's 101-position model.
UCAAAGAUAAAAACGCAAUAUACAUUCAUGUAAAAUGUAUUAGAACUGGUAGGUAGCCCAGUCGUCUAAGUAAUUAUUCCCUUAGGUAAGUAACCUUCCCCUCCGGGUUGUCCAUUCUUUGAUAAA